CAAAUCUUGACAUCCUCUGACCCCUCUAGAGAUAGAGUUUUCCCCUUCGGGGGACAGAGUGACAGGUGGUGCAUGGUUGUCGUCAGCUCGUGUCGUGAGAUGUUGGGUUAAGUCCCGCAACGAGCGCAACCCUUAAGCUUAGUUGCCAUCAUUAAGUUGGGCACUCUAAGUUGACCGCCGGUGACAAACCGGAGGAAGGUGGGGAUGACGUCAAAUCAUCAUGCCCCUUAUGAUUUGGGCUACACACGUGCUACAAUGAACAAUACAAAGGGCAGCGAAACCGCGAGGUCAAGCAAAUCCCAUAAAGUUGUUCUCAGUUCGGAUUGUAGUCUGCAACUCGACUAUAUGAAGCUGGAAUCGCUAGUAAUCGUAGAUCAGCAUGCUACGGUGAAUA
Molecule: ribosomal RNA, 394 nt
Filed under: uncultured bacterium
Lineage: Bacteria
Description: bacterial SSU rRNA
Rfam family: Bacterial small subunit ribosomal RNA
Source: RNAcentral